ACUGGUUGAUCCUGCCAGACCCGACCGCUAUUGGGGUCGGAUUAAGCUAUGCAUGUCGAACGCUCCCAGCUAUGUGGGAGCGUGGCGGACGGCUCAGUAACACGUAGUUAACCUGCCCUUAGGACGAGGAUACCCCCGGGAAACUGGGUAUAAUCCUCGAUAGCUACCAUUACCUGGAAUGGCAUGGUAGCCAAAGGCUCUUCCAACAUGCUGGAACGGUGCCUAAGGAUGGGACUGCGUCCGAUCAGGUAGUUGGUGGUGUAACGGACCACCAAGCCUUUAACCGGUACGGGCUGUGAGAGCAGUAGCCCGGAGAUGGACACUGAGACAAGGGUCCAGGCCCUACGGGGCGCAGCAAGCGCGAAACCUCCACAAUGCACGCAAGUGUGAUGGGGCGACCCCCAGUGCCUCCUAAAAAUGGAGGCUUUUCUUCCGCGUAGGUACCGGAAGGAAUAAGGAGAGGGCAAGGCUGGUGCCAGCCGCCGCGGUAAAACCAGCUCUUCAAGUAGUCGGGAUGAUUAUUGGGCCUAAAGCAUCCGUAGCCGGCCCGGCAAAUCUUUGGUUAAAUCCGCCCUCUCAAGGGGCGGGCCGCUAGAGUGACUACCGGGCUUGGAGGCGGGAGAGGCACGGGGUACUACAGGGGUAGGGGUGGAAUCCUAUCAUCCCUGUGGGACCACCAGUGGCGAAGGCGCCGUGCUGGAACGCGCUCGACGGUGAGGGAUGAAACCCAGGGGAGCGAACCGGAUUAGAUACCCGGGUAGUCCUGGGCGUAAACGAUGCCGGCUAGGUGUUCGCAUGGCUACGAGCUGUGCGAGUGCCGUAGCGAAGGCGAUAAGUCGGCCGCCUGGGAAGUACGGUCGCAAGACUGAAACUUAAAGGAAUAGGCGGGGGAGCACCACAAGGGGUGAAGCCUGCGGUUCAAUUGGACUCAACGCCGCAAAACUUACCGGAGACGAUAGCUGUAUGAAGGUCAGGCUGAUGACCUUACCUGACUCGCUAAGAGGUGGUGCAUGGCCGUCGCCAGUUCGUGCCGUGAGGUGUCUGCUUAAGUGCAGCAACGAACGAGACCCCCACGCCCUGUUGCCCCCGAUAGGGGAAACCCUGUCGCGCACACUGGGCGGACCGCCACUGAGAAAGUGGAGGAAGGUGGGGGCCACGGCAGGUCAGUAUGCCCCGAAUUUUCCGGGCCACACGCGGGCUGCAAUGACCGGGACAAUGGGCUCCUACCCCGAAAGGGGGCGGUAAUCCCCUAAACCCGGCCGUAGUUAGGAUCGGGGGCUGCAACUCGCCCCCGUGAAUAUGGAAUCCCUAGUAACUGCGUGUCAACAUCGCGCGGUGAAUACGUCCCUGCUCCUUGCACUCACCGCCCGUCGCUCCACCCGAGUUGGCUCUAGGCGAGGCUUUGUCUUUUAGGCAAUUUCGAACCUGGGGUCGGUAAGGGGGGAGAAGUCGUAACAAGGUA
RNAcentral lists this ribosomal RNA (1462 nucleotides) under metagenome. RNAcentral's name for it is "bacterial SSU rRNA". It matches the Rfam family "Archaeal small subunit ribosomal RNA". The record is from RNAcentral.